CGCAUGCAGGUGGUUGUUAAGUCAGAUGUGAAAGCCCGGGGCUCAACCUCGGAAUUGCAUUUGAAACUGGCAAACUAGAGUACUGUAGAGGGGGUAGAAUUUCAGGUGUAGCGGUGAAAUGCGUAGAGAUCUGAAGGAAUACCGGUGGCGAAGGCGGCCCCCUGGACAGAUACUGACACUCAGAUGCGAAAGCGUGGGGAGCAAACAGGAUUAGAUACCCUGGUAG
Molecule: ribosomal RNA, 226 nt
Filed under: uncultured bacterium
Lineage: Bacteria
Description: partial 16S ribosomal RNA
Rfam family: Bacterial small subunit ribosomal RNA
Source: RNAcentral